GACAACGCUGGCGGCGUGCCUAACACAUGCAAGUCGAACGGUCCGGCACUCAACCGACCCUCAGUCUAGCUGUAGGUGAAGUUGAGUGCCGGAUAGUGGCGGACGGGUGAGUAACGCGUGGGCAACCAACCCUGUACAGUGGGAUAACACCGGGAAACCGGUGCUAAUACCGCAUGACACCUAGAUGGUGCAUACUGUUUAGGUUAAAGGAUUUAACCGGUACAGGACGGGCCCGCGUCCCAUUAGCUGGUUGGUGAGGUAACGGCUCACCAAGGCGACGAUGGGUAGCCGACCUGAGAGGGUGACCGGCCACACUGGGACUGAGACACGGCCCAGACUCCUACGGGAGGCAGCAGUGGGGAAUAUUGCGCAAUGGACGGAAGUCUGACGCAGCGACGCCGCGUGAGCGACGAAGGCCUUCGGGUCGUAAAGCUCUGUUCUUGGGGACGAAUAAAAUGACGGUACCCAAGGAGAAAGCCCCGGCUAACUACGUG
This 494-nucleotide ribosomal RNA is filed under the name uncultured bacterium. Its description in RNAcentral is "bacterial SSU rRNA". It matches the Rfam family "Bacterial small subunit ribosomal RNA", at positions 32 to 507 of the family's 1533-position model. The record is from RNAcentral.